CGUCGAACGGCAGCACGAGAAAAGCUUGCUUUUUUUGGUGGCGAGUGGCGAACGGGUGAGUAAUGUAUCGGAACGUACCCAGUAGCGGGGGAUAACUACGCGAAAGCGUGGCUAAUACCGCAUACGCCCUGCGGGGGAAAGGGGGGGAUUCUUCGGAACCUCUCACUAUUGGAGCGGCCGAUAUCGGAUUAGCUUUUUGGUGAGGUAAUGGCUCACCAAGGCUGCGAUCCGUAGCUGGUUUGAGAGGACGACCAGCCACACUGGGACUGAGACACGGCCCAGACUCCUACGGGAGGCAGCAGUGGGGAAUUUUGGACAAUGGGGGCAACCCUGAUCCAGCCAUCCCGCGUGUGCGAUGAAGGCCUUCGGGUUGUAAAGCACUUUUGGCAGGGAAGAAAGGGCGCUGGUUAAUACCUGGCGUUGAUGACGGUACCUGCAGAAUAAGCACCGGCUAACUACGUGCCAGCAGCCGCGGUAAUACGUAGGGUGCAAGCGUUAAUCGGAAUUACUGGGCGUAAAGGGUGCGUC
RNAcentral lists this ribosomal RNA (528 nucleotides) under uncultured bacterium. RNAcentral describes it as "bacterial SSU rRNA". It matches the Rfam family "Bacterial small subunit ribosomal RNA", at positions 60 to 573 of the family's 1533-position model. The record is from RNAcentral.